RNAcentral lists this long non-coding RNA (292 nucleotides) under Panax ginseng (ginseng). Its description in RNAcentral is "long non-coding RNA (PGIN_LNC017318)". The record is from RNAcentral. Lineage: Eukaryota; Viridiplantae; Streptophyta; Magnoliopsida; Apiales; Araliaceae.
UCGCGCGCACAGGUAGCCAAGGUGAGACACCACAUAAACUUGGCCUCCCCAAUACACAACAUCUGUUAUGCAAACCCCAAUACCAAUAUUAUUUUUGGCCCUUGAAGGGCAUCUCCAAGUGUCAUCUCCAACUCUACAAAAGGACAAUCGUCUCUGUUCACCCCACAAGGCCACAGCAAUGCAAUCCUCCUCAUUACUAGUGGGAUCCCCAGAUAAGAUGAUUUUGUACACAUAAAAGCUCUCAAUAUCUUUCAAACUCAUGGUGGAUUCAAAAGUAUCAUAAAUACCAUGU